UGUCCCGAGUCUCUCAGCUGUUACAAAAUCACAGCACUCACCUGCUUUAUAUUUUUAUCCUCAGGUUCCCAGCAUGCCUCAGGGGUGGAGGUGGAGGUGGAGGUGUAUGAGGGGGUGGAGUCUGUCCUGCUGCCCUGUCAGGUACAAGCUGAUGUUACCAUUGACUCCACAGCAGCAGUGUGGGACCGUGAGGAGCUCAAGGACCCAACAGUCCACGUGCGUCUGCCGAGUGGUGACGAUUUUAAAGAUCAGAACAUUCGUUACUUCAGUCGAACAUCACUGAGAGCCGACGCUCUGCUGACUGGAGACCUCAGCCUCACACUGAGGAACCCCACAGUCUCUGACAGUGGAAACUACACCUGCACAUACCGCAAGUAUGGACAAGAUCGGAACAAGACCUAUGUAGACCUGAAGGUCACAGAACUUCCUCCUCGUUCUGCAGUCUGGUUUAAAGUCCUCUCAGGUGUCCUGGUUCCUGUGGUUCUUCUGGCUGUUACGUUUGGUGCAUGUCUGUUUUGUAGAUACAAAAAGUUAAAGAACAAAGAAGUUCGUGAGGUGGAGGUGGGUUCAGGUGUGGAGUUUGCCAAGCUGCCCUGCAAAGCCACAGUUCACCUGUCUAAGGUAAAUAAAGUCGUGUGGAAGGACAGAGAUGGCAGGAUAGUCCACGUGUAUCAGAAAGACUCUGAGCAGCCUGAAAAACAGCACAGACGUUACAGGAACCGAACAGAAAUGAAUGAAGACCCGCUGAAGACUGGAGACCUCAGUCUGACACUGAAAUACCCCACACACACAGACAGAGACACCUACACCUGCACCGUCUACGGCAGGGAGGGAAAAGUCCUGAUGGAGAAAAAAGUGGAGCUGAAAGUCGAAGAGUGUCAGCUGGUGGCGAAGGAGGAGGGGGCGGAGUCUGUCUCUCUUCCCUUUCAAACCACAGACAACCUGCCUGGCGACAGUGAAGUGGUGUGGAAAUGUUAUGAACCAGAAUACAGGAAGGUCUACGUGUAUGAGAACGGCUCUGAUUGGCCUGACAAACAGGAUGACCAUUACAAAGGUCGCACUGAGAUGAAUGAAGACCCUCUGAAAUGUGGAGACCUCAGUCUGACCCUGAGACACCCCACAGUGGGAGAUGCUGGGAGAUACGGAUGUGAGGUCAACAGCAAGGAGGCCUGGAGAUACAAGAGGGUGCGGCUCACAGUUAAAGGUUAGUUAGUUAAUUCAUGUUUGUUUGUUUGUGUGUGUGUGAGGUGUGACUCUUCUGUUUCCUCUGCAGGGAAAUAAACAGAGGCCAUCAGGAUCAGCUCCACUGAUCCAUCUGCUCUGAUCACUGAUCAAUCAGUUUGAUGUGUUUGUUUGAUUAUUGAUGAGUGAAGGACAUCAGUGAACAGACGGUGCUGAAGUGGAAGAUGCUGUCAGCUGCUAGUGAGGCCUGUUUAAGCCUGUUGUGUCCCAUGUGUCUGUUCUCAGUAUGAUCACACAGCUAAUGUAUAAACUCCUACAAACCUGUGUUCUUGGAAAGUGCACUGUUGGCUGUUUCUGUAACUCUGACCAAAUAUAAGAUGUGUCAGCGUCAUGUGGAGUAAACGUUAACAAUACUGUGUGUAUCUGUGGAUGGUUUGUGGCUCGGCUGCAGGCGAGGGGAGGGGCACCGGGAAGGCUGGCGGGCACAGCUGAGAUCCAUCGCUGACCACACCUUUUUAGGAGCAGUGGGUGGAGCAUGCUGGACACAGCUGUGUGAGUGAAAAUGUCUCAGAGCAAAAUAAAAAUGAGUUUGUCAGGAAACCUGUUCAGUUAUCAGGUGUUUGUGUCACAGUGUCUGAUGUAACAGCUGCCAAAUACAAGACAUCGUUUUCUCUUCGUCCAGCUCAGGGUUAAGUGGGGGAGGCUGUCAUAGGGUAAAAGGUGGGGCACCCCCAGUUACUGCCACCCACAGACUACGUCCACAUACACAAAAAUAAUCAUUCCCAGCUGUAUUUCAUAUCUGCACUUGUGGAGAUUCAAAGGUUCAAAUACAGAACUGCAGACUGGUGGCUGCUGUCAAAUACAGCUGACACCAACAUAAUGAGUUCACCUCGUGCCCACUAGAGGCCAGCAAAGUGAACCACAGAGGGAGCCAAACACUCGAGCGGUCCCACUGAGAGAAGCAGAACACUCAGCUCCUGUUUGCAGUGUUUCACAGGUGUUCCUGAACGCAUCACUGUGAUCCUGAAGAAAAGUUGAAACUCUCUUUUCCUGGGAGGAUUUCUGCAGCUGAUCCCAGAUAAUGAACUAACACAGAUCCAAACAUGAGUUUGAUAUGAGUCUUUGAGUCUGUCCUGUCUGUGGAUGAUGGGACUGAAAUCGUUUACAAUUUAAAAAUCAGGGAAGAAGAAAGUAAUGAUCUCAUAGGAGGAACACGGCGGGUCUGUGUACCGCGCUGGAACGAUAGCGCUGUGCAGGAUGGCUGCUGUGUUCGCUUCGGAUGACUACUCACCCCCACCCAACCCUGUGGCUUGUCAUGUCUCUCACAAUGUUGUGCUGUGGACAUUUAUGUGCUUUUGUGCAGAGGAGUUUUUUUGUUUCCUGUUCCCAUGCUGUCCUACCAUGCACAGCAUGAGCAGAGGUCUCUGUUUUUCCUCUUGUACUUUCCCAUUGUAGUGCACAUUUCAGUGUUUUUUCUGUAACGCUACCGAUCUCCGACUUGUAUCCCCAUGUAAUGUCUGUGCUGUGUGUGUAACGUCGGAGGGGGUCCCAUUUCACUGCAGGGCAACCUCCAUGUGACGAAUAAAGCUUUGAUUGAUUGAUAAAUGAAACAAACAAAAUCUCAAGAUGACUGAGAAAAAACAUCAAAUGUUUAAACUGAGAAAAUGCAUUAUUAAAAAAGGCUUAGCUUAUUUGAACCUGAAGGCAAACAUGAUAACAACUCCAUGUUUUAUAUGAAUAAAAACACAAGUGGCC
Molecule: long non-coding RNA, 2937 nt
Organism: Oreochromis niloticus (Nile tilapia)
Lineage: Eukaryota; Metazoa; Chordata; Actinopteri; Cichliformes; Cichlidae
Source: Ensembl